RNAcentral lists this unclassified non-coding RNA (1555 nucleotides) under Stegodyphus dumicola. RNAcentral describes it as "glyoxylate/hydroxypyruvate reductase A-like, transcript variant X3". The record is from RNAcentral. Lineage: Eukaryota; Metazoa; Arthropoda; Arachnida; Araneae; Eresidae.
GAAUGGGGCUAAGCUACCUCUAAUGUACACUUCUACUUCUAUUCUCAUUGGUUAUACGUGUUCAUUAGUAUUCUACUCAUGUUUUGUUGUUCUUUAAACAAAACAAUUGAACUUCAAUGUCAUUGUGACUUUUGUUCGUGUUUAUUUAAUCGGAUUCUUUACAGAACAGCACUCAUCAAACAGUUUUCAGAAGAGUCUACCAAUGUUGCUCCUCGUCGAGGGCUAAAUUAAGUGUAUUAUUAUCAUCUGUGAUUACAAUAUUGUUAUCGAAUUUACUUGCAUAUUUUUGCUGAAUUCAAUUGCUAAAGAUGACUUCACGUAUAAAGCCUCCUGUGUAUGUACUCUCUGAGAUACCAGGCUUAAUAGAAUGCUUGAAAAGUGCUGAAAUGGCUGAAAUAAGAUCUGCAAAAACAUCAGAUUUGCAUGAUAUUAAGAAUGCUGAAGUUGCAGUUUGUGAUGGUGCCUUACUUGCAAAUGCGUAUAAAUCCAUGCCAAAUUUAAAAUGGGCACAUUGUACAUGGGCUGGUGUUGAUCCAGUGAUAAAAAGUAUACCAGAGAAGCCACACUUUGUGCUGACCAGGCAUGGUGGUGAAGCUUUCAGUAGACUUAUUGCUGAAUAUGUUGUGUGCCAAAUUCUGAACUGUGAGAGGAAUUUCAAAGCAUAUAUCAUUGCUCAAGAAACUGAGACUUGGCUUGACUCGGACGUUAUUCGAUAUUAUCGAUCUUUAGAUGAAUUAAAUGUUGGUAUUUUAGGAGUGGGGAACAUGGCAUGUGGAGUUGCCAAAUUUCUAAAAAGUAGAGGCACCACAGUAUUUGGAUUUGCACGAAGUCUUCUUCCUAAACGCAGAAACUCUGAUUUAUUUGAUAAGAUAUAUACAAAUAUUGAUGAAAUGUUGCCAAAAUGUGAUUAUUUAUGCAACACACUACCAAGUACAGAUCUCACAUCUGGAAUGUUAAAUGAUGCUGUUCUGAAAAAAUGCGUCAGGAAACCUGUAUUCAUAAAUGUUGGUCGAGGAAGUAUUAUCUCUGAAAAAGAACUCAUUAGAGCUCUCAGGAAUGAUUGGAUAUCAUGUGCUGUCUUGGAUGUUUUUGAGCAGGAACCUCUGCCUCAGUCCAGUGAACUAUGGAAAAUGUCUCAGGUCAUCAUAACCCCUCAUGUUUCUGCAUACUCCAAACCUGAUCAUCUAAAAUAAGGGGAAGUACAUUAGAAGAAAGAAAAUUAGUCAUUAAUUUGAUGAAAGAAGAGAAAAGCUGCUGUGAAACUGGAAAAUUUUUAGGUUACAGACUUCUUCUUCAAAAACUACAAACGUUAUGUCCAUGAAGAGGAGAUGGAAAAUGUUGUGAACUGGUCAUUUGGUUAUUAAUUCUAAUUGUUUUGCCAAAAUGCUGUGUCACAUUUUUAUAUGUGUGCGUGUGAAAAUUUUUUAUCUACUGUUAUAGCCUAUUACGUUUUUUUAUCUGUUAUGAAAAUUUUAUCCACUUUCAUAGAGAUUAUUUUUGAAGAAUUUAUGUAACAUGAAAUAACAUAAAAAUAAACUAUUUUUCUUUGAUUUCA